GGAGCUGCAUAGCUUCGCGCCAGAGCAGGCGAAGGAGCACCAACCUGCAACAUUGGGCGAAAUCCCACAGCGGAACGAAUUGGCUCCUUGUCAUAAGACCUCCCUGCAAACAGAUCAGAACAAACGCUCAAUAAAGGCUAGAUACAAUCUUAACUGCGUAAAUGUCCUGCAAGAAAGUCAGGAGGAAUCCCCAGUAAAUAGGAGGAGUCCUAAGAAGGGAGACCAAGUGUGGCCUUGAAGUUUCCCAUCAACACCACCUAGACAGACUGAGCAGGCGCACAGAUUCACAGGUGUCCUCACUGUAGGCAUAAAAAGGACUGAGCCAUCCUUAGGAGUUGCAUGCAGCCCUGUGUAUCUUCUCAGGUGAUCCUGAACGCCUUUGCCGCAGGAAGAACUCUAGGAUUGGUAAGUCUUGCAAUAAGCUUUUUAUGUCUGUCUAUAACGGUGUGUUAAGAUAGGUCUGGAGGACAGAGUGUGCUACUGCAGCAAAUACUAGUUUGCAUCUUUAAGACUACUGAGAGAUAGAAUAGCAAAGUACGGUAUUUGCAAAAAUACUGUGUGAGCAGAGACAGAAACAUGGGAACCAGUGUAAAUGCAGGACUCCCAACUAUAGGCCCCAUAAGGCAAAAAACAGACGAGCUGAAGCUGUAGAGACCAAAGUCAAUUUAUGUGCUGUGUUUGCACAAAGAAGUAUGCAGAGAGAGCUUGGGGUGUGGUGGUGGAAGAGAGGUUUUGUAUUCAACUUUCACUCUUCUUAGCAUUU
Podarcis muralis (Common wall lizard) is the source of this 763-nucleotide non-coding RNA. NCBI's taxonomy places the organism in Eukaryota, Metazoa, Chordata, Lepidosauria, Squamata, Lacertidae. The record is from RefSeq and is a predicted model, not a curated record.